AGUUCUCAACGAGAGUCGAAGUGAUCUGAUUAUCUAUGUGGUGAUGAUAAAAGUUGAGCUUGAUUUGGUUUUGCUGUCAUCGACUUGAUUUGAAUUUGUGUUAUAUUUAUAAAAGUAAAUAUGUUAUAGGUUUAAAGCUGAGCUUUAAAACGGUGGGCCUAAUUUGCCAAAGCAGCACAACUUUUGUUUCUCUAGCAUUUCCUAUUUUUUUCUUUAUGCUCUUUGAAUAUGGACCAACAAAAUUUACAGCUAUAAAACGUGAGUUUAUCUUCAAGAGUCUAUAAAAACUGAAGAUUGUAAAAUACUAAAUAAAUGUAACAAUAUUGUUUUUAAACAUAUAUAGUAUUAGCUAUAACAUAUCACAUAAAUAUUUGUCGGAUAAAAAAACUGACACGAAAAGUGUAUACAAAAAAAUUCAAAAUGAUACGAAACUAAAACUCAAAAUAAUAAAAUCCAAACCAAAUCCAAUUCAUAAAUAACUGAACUAUUAUUAUUUUUUGAAUCAAAAUCAAAACCCACAA
This 521-nucleotide long non-coding RNA is filed under the name Brassica napus (rape). Its description in RNAcentral is "long non-coding RNA (BNAP_LNC009423)". The record is from RNAcentral. Lineage: Eukaryota; Viridiplantae; Streptophyta; Magnoliopsida; Brassicales; Brassicaceae.